AACGAACGCUGGCGGCAUGCCUAACACAUGCAAGUCGAACGAGACCUUCGGGUCUAGUGGCGCACGGGUGCGUAACGCGUGGUAACCUGCCCUUAGGUUCGGAAUAACUCCCCGAAAGGGGUGCUAAUACCGGAUAAUGUCUUCGGACCAAAGAUUUAUCGCCUUUGGAUGGGCCCGCGUUGGAUUAGCUAGUUGGUAGGGUAAAAGCCUACCAAGGCGACGAUCCAUAGCUGGUCUGAGAGGAGGAUCAGCCACACUGGGACUGAGACACGGCCCAGACUCCUACGGGAGGCAGCAGUGGGGAAUAUUGGACAAUGGGCGAAAGCCUGAUACAGCAAUGCCGCGUGAGUGAUGAAGGCCUUAGGGUUGUAAAGCUCUUUUACACGGGAUGAUAAUGACAGUACCGGGAGAAUAAGCUCCGGCUAACUCCGUG
Molecule: ribosomal RNA, 433 nt
Filed under: uncultured bacterium
Lineage: Bacteria
Description: partial 16S ribosomal RNA
Rfam family: Bacterial small subunit ribosomal RNA
Source: RNAcentral